This 460-nucleotide ribosomal RNA is filed under the name uncultured bacterium. RNAcentral describes it as "partial 16S ribosomal RNA". It matches the Rfam family "Bacterial small subunit ribosomal RNA", at positions 338 to 795 of the family's 1533-position model. The record is from RNAcentral.
CCUACGGGAGGCAGCAGUGAGGAAUAUUGGUCAAUGGGCGCGAGCCUGAACCAGCCAAGUAGCGUGAAGGAUGACUGCCCUACGGGUUGUAAACUUCUUUUAUAAAGGAAUAAAGUGAGGCACGUGUGCCUUUUUGUAUGUACUUUAUGAAUCAGGAACGGCUAACUCCGUGCCAGCAGCCGCGGUAAUACGGAGGAGCCGAGCGUUAACCGGAUUUCUUGGGUUUAAAGGGAGCGUAGAUGGGUUGUUAAGUCAGUUGUGAAAGUUUGCGGCUCAACCGUAAAAUUGCAAUUGAUACUGGCAGUCUUGAGUACAGGUGAGGUAGGCGGAAUGCGUGGUGUAGCGGUGAAAUGCUUAGAUAUCACGAAGAACUCCGAUUGCGAAGGCAGCUUACUAAACUGCCACUGACAUUGAUGCUCGAAAGUGUGGGUAUCAAACAGGAUUAGAUACCCUAGUAGUC